Molecule: long non-coding RNA, 4009 nt
Organism: Ictalurus furcatus (blue catfish)
Lineage: Eukaryota; Metazoa; Chordata; Actinopteri; Siluriformes; Ictaluridae
Exons: 3
Source: RefSeq, a predicted model, not a curated record
UACUCUGGAUUUAAUCAUCUCCAAGGGUCUGAACAUCUCAAAGGUUGUGGUAACUGAUAUUGCUCUCUCUGAUCAUUCCUGUGUUUUCUUUGAGAGCGCCAUCUCCGUGCAUACUAAAGUUCAAAAAGAGGUAAUCAAACAACGACAAAUCACUGAGAACACCAGUGAAAUAUUUGUUCAGGCUUUCUCUUCCACACCCGCCCUCUCAUGGGUCUCAGUAAAUGAGCUUGUAGAUAAUUUCAAUUCUAAAAUUACAAAUGUUAUCGACACCAUUGCACCCAUUAAGGUUAAGGUGGUCUCUGGUAAGAAAAGAUCUCCAUGGAGAAAUGCCACUCUGGUAUGAACCGGAAAGAGAGAGUGUCGGAAAGCUGAACACGGGACAAAAAACAAAUCUCCAGAUUCACUAUAACCUCUAUAAAGAGAGACUUCGCAUUUAUAAUUUAGGAAAUGCAAGGUGGUCCUUCUUCUCUAACAUCAUCUCCAAAAACAAUAAUAACACACGCACUUUCUUUGCUACUAUUGACAGGCUAACCAACCCUCCUGUGUCAGUAGCCUCUGACUUUUUAUCCACCAGGGCCUGCAAUGACUUUGCCUCUUUUUUUACUGACAAAAUUAAAAAAAUUAGUCAAGCAAUCAGUGUUUCCAUGUCAGGUACAGGAUAUGUACUGCCUCUAUGUCCAUCUACAAACAACUCAAUUAGCAUGACACAAUUUCAUCCUAUCACUCAUGAAAACGUGGGGGCAUUAUACAACACCUGAAAUCCUCCUCCUGCUACCUUGAUAUUCUGCCAACAGGCUUUUUCAAAAAAAAAAAAAAAAAAAAAUCUAAUUGCAUGGCCUCAGAAUUAUUAGAAAUUGUCAACAAAUCUCUUCUCUCAGGUUUCUUCCCACAGGCCCUGAAAACUGCUGUCAUCAAGCCACUCUUAAAAAAGAAUAAUCUAGACACAUCACUAAUGAGUAAUUAUAGACCCAUAUCAAACCUCCCGUUCUUAAGUAAAAAUAUUGAAAAAGCUAUUUUUCAACAGCUGAACAAUUACUUAGAACUAAACGACUGUUUUGAUGUCUUCCAGUCAGGGUUCUCACCAAAUCACAGCACUGAGACUGCUCUUGUUAAAGUCUUCAAUGACAUCCAUUUAAAAAUAGACAAUGGCAGAAUUUUAAUCUUAGUAUUAUUGGAUUUCAGUGCUGCAUUCGACAUGGUUGACCACAAUAUAUUACUAGACAGACUAAAAAAUUGGGUGGGACUUUCUGGCACUGUACUAAACUGUUUUGUAUCCUACUUAAGGGACAGGGACUACUUCAUGUCUAUAGGCAAUUACAAAUCUAACAUUACAAAAAUGACCUGCGGAGUUCCCCAUGGCUCCAUUUUGGGGCCUCUCUUGUUUAACAUCUACAUGCUUCCACUGGCUCAGAUUAUGAAAUACAACAAAAUUUGUUACCACAGUUAUGCAGAUGACACAGAUUUACAUAACCAUUUUGCCAGGGAAAUAUGAUCCCCUACAGGCUCUGAGGAACUGCAUUGAACAAAUUAAUGAUUGGAUGUGCCAAAAUUUUCUCCAAUUAAACAAAGAGAAAACUGAAGUUAUUGUUUUUGGAGCUGAGAAGAAGCGAUUAGAGGUCAGCACUCAGCUUCAGUCUGUAAUGUUAAAGACCACUGACCAAGUCAGAAAUCUUCGUGUAGUCAUGUAGACUUAACCUUCAACAGCCAUAUUAAGACAGUUACAAAGUCAGCCUACUACCACCUAAAAAAUAUUCGAAGGGUUAGAGGACUAAUGUCUCAGAAAGACUUAGAAAAACUUGUCCAUGCAUUUGUCUUCAGUCGACUCGACUACUGUAACGGUGUCUUGACGGAUCUAAAUAAGAAAUCAAUUAGACAGUUGCAGUUGAUUCAGAAUGCUGCUGCUCGGGUCCUCACUAAGACUAAAAAGGUAGAUCAUAUAACUCCAGUCCUGAGGUCGUUGCACUGGCUUCCUGUCUGUAAAAGAAUUGAUUUUAAAAUACUGCUGUUGGUUUAUAAAGCACUGAAUGGUUUGGGUCCAAUAUAUAUUUCUGAUCUACUGGUACAUUAUGAACCAUCCAGACCUCUGAGGUCGUCUGGAACAGGUCUGCUUUCUGUUCCCAGAGUCAAAACUAAACGUGGAGAAGCAGCAUUUAGUUUUUAUGCUCCAUAUCUUGAACAAACUCCCAGAAAACUGCAGAUCUGCCAAAACUCUCAGUUCUUUUAAAUCAAGACUGAAGACUUUUCUUUUUGCUGCUGCUUUUAAUUAAAUCAUCAAGGUAUUUUAAUUAAUAUCUUAUAUUGCACUGUAACCUUUUUAAUCUGUUUUAACCUGUUUUUAUUUUUUUGUUGUUUUUAUUUUUUAUUACUUUUUUUUUAUUAUUAUUAUUUUUUAUGAACUCUUUUUAAAGUCUUUUCCUUUUAAAUGUUGCUUUGUGUUGCUUUUAUGUUUUAUGUAAAGCACUUUGAAUUACCCUGUUGUUGAAAAUGUGCUAUACAAAUAAAUUUGCCUUGCCUUGCCUUACGAGUGAGCACUGCUCUCUUAUUGUAAGGGUUUAAGAGAUAUACGAGCUUAGCUAACUAACUCUUUCUCAACUUUAAAUUAAGUAAUUUAUUUAAGAUUCUUCAGUUUGCUAAGUGCGCAUAUCUCCUUCGGACAUUCGUUGUCAUCAAGCUGCCAUUAUGGAUCAGGUAGACGUCGUCGCAGAAGAAAUAAAGUUUUUCCAGAAAGCUGGAGUAACAGAAGCUAUGCAUGUGUAUGAGCUCUUUAACACUGUGUCUGGACUGAAAAUCACGAGUGACAACGAGGCAGAUUUCUUAGCCCAGAUUCAGGAACUGGAGAAGAUGAAUGAGGACCAUGUCCAAAAGCGAAGCAAGAAGGCCUGUACCAAUACUUGUGAGAAUGGCCCACCUCUGUUAAAUGAGGAUGAUUAACAAUAAGAUAACAUCCAGAAAAAAGGCAGGUUCACAAGUUGAGAGGGGUAAAAUGUGAGGAUGUUUAAGUGCAUUACACAGCAUUUUCUGCUGACUAGGCAUCUGAAACACCCAUCUUUACACACCUUCUUUUGAUGGAUUGCUUCAAAUAGCAAGUAAAUGGUGUACUAAUAGAUCAACUAUAUUAGUACACAGCAGCAUCAAAUCUUCCGUUUGAGCACAACCUGUUAUUGAUCAGUGUUGCAAUAUGGGCUAAUAAUGGGACAGAAUGAGAUAUGUGCAACUAGAUUAGUAAAUAUGACCCGGUGUCAUUUCUCUCUACAUAAAAUACCAGUUAGCAUGAAUCGAAUGCUUAUUUAAAGCAUUUGGUUGGUGCUGAACAUGCUUGAUGCUUUCUGAUUUUUGUGGCUUUAUCUUAAUGUUGCUAUAUGCUGGCUUCAUGUAAUAUUUUACAGCUCAUGGAGAAAUGAAUAAACUUUGAAAUUGGUAAAUGGAAUGUGAUUAAUCAAAUUGUUACGGCCCAGUCUAGGUUAGGCUGCACAGAGUAACCAGCUCGGGAAUCAAAUAGAUUGACCUUUAAAUAAGGGAAGCCAAGAAUAACAACACAAACAAGGUUGUGGUAUAUUGUAACAGACAAUUAUAUACAUAUAACUGUACAAAUUAACCAAAGUAGGUGUAACUUCAGGGUGGGCCAAGGCCAAAAUAAUAAACAAAGGAAUUCUAUUAGUAGGUAGAUAGCUUACCUAAAAGGAAAAGAACGAAAAAUACAAGGAUACUUCCCUAACUACCUAAGCAAAAAAAAAAACAGAGACAAAAGGACCCUCUCCCAAAAGAAAUGGCAGGCACACCCCUACUGCCGGUGAACCUAGUGAACAUAUACACAAUAGUGAAGAGAAUACACAUUAACAGGUACAGGGACAACCAAACUCAAAGUCCAAAAACCAGGCAAAAGUCAAAAACCAGAACAGCCGUUAGAAAAUAGCAUACAAGCAGCACAACCAAACACAAUCUCUAAACACCAACACAUGUAACCACCUCCAACAUCCCACACCAUUCUCACUCGCCUUCUUUAAAUAUG